RNAcentral lists this ribosomal RNA (397 nucleotides) under uncultured bacterium. RNAcentral describes it as "partial 16S ribosomal RNA". It matches the Rfam family "Bacterial small subunit ribosomal RNA", at positions 523 to 918 of the family's 1533-position model. The record is from RNAcentral.
AUACGUAGGUGGCGAGCGUUGUCCGGAAUUACUGGGCGUAAAGGAUGCGUAGGUGGAUAUUUAAGUGGGAUGUGAAAUCCCCGGGCUCAACCCGGGAACUGCAUUCCAAACUGGGUAUCUAGAGUGCAGGAGAGGAAAGCGGAAUUCCUAGUGUAGCGGUGAAAUGCGUAGAUAUUAGGAGGAACACCAGUGGCGAAGGCGGCUUUCUGGACUGUAACUGACACUGAGGCAUGAAAGCGUGGGUAGCAAACAGGAUUAGAUACCCUGGUAGUCCACGCCGUAAACGAUGGGUACUAGGUGUAGGAGGUAUCGACCCCUUCUGUGCCGUCGUUAACACAAUAAGUACCCCGCCUGGGGAGUACGGUCGCAAGACUAAAACUCAAAGGAAUUGACGGGG